This 321-nucleotide long non-coding RNA is filed under the name Anser brachyrhynchus (Pink-footed goose). Its description in RNAcentral is "lncRNA (ENSABRG00000020239.1)". The record is from RNAcentral. Lineage: Eukaryota; Metazoa; Chordata; Aves; Anseriformes; Anatidae.
ACCACUGCAUACACACACACACACAAAAAAAACCAGCGGUGGUUAUCAUUAUUUUCUGUCACUGUCAACAUGAGGAUGCACAGUUUCAUUGUCCUUGGUUCAAAAGACGAGUCAUGCCUUGGAUGUGCAGUGAUUGUAGACAACCCCCCUUGCGGAGCCACUUUGCCACAUAUGGAGCUAUGUCCUUUUCAAGGUACAAUAAACAGAAAGCAGCUCUGCAAAGGGAGCAGCAAUAGCUGCUUAAUCAACAAUGGCUUCUACAAGAACGUCCAUCCCAGGAGCACAGCAGAACUGACAACGUAUCAUCUCUAUGACUGCUAG